RNAcentral lists this ribosomal RNA (203 nucleotides) under Klebsiella pneumoniae. RNAcentral describes it as "partial 23S ribosomal RNA". It matches the Rfam family "Bacterial large subunit ribosomal RNA", at positions 36 to 239 of the family's 2925-position model. Lineage: Bacteria; Pseudomonadati; Pseudomonadota; Gammaproteobacteria; Enterobacterales; Enterobacteriaceae. The record is from RNAcentral.
GCAGUCAGAGGCGAUGAAGGACGUGCUAAUCUGCGAAAAGCGUCGGUAAGGUGAUAUGAACCGUUAUAACCGGCGAUGUCCGAAUGGGGAAACCCAGUGUGAUUCGUCACACUAUCGUUAACUGAAUACAUAGGUUAACGAGGCGAACCGGGGGAACUGAAACAUCUAAGUACCCCGAGGAAAAGAAAUCAACCGAGAUUCCC